UUCUCUGUCUCUUUUUCUCUUUCUGUCUUCUUACGUUUUUAAAUUCCAAGAUCGAUCGUCGGACGUAAAACCGAUAAUAAAACUCGUAUAAAAGGAUGCAGAUCGUAACGUUCGACAGACGUCGAGCUUGAAGUUUCCUAUCCUUCAUCGAUAGUUUAGAGAAGAAUAAAGAAGGAGAAAAAAAAUUUGUGCGGUUUUCUUCGUAAUAAAAACGAUUCUAUUAUCCCGAGAUAAAAAAAUUUUCCAACACCUUCGAGAGUGGACGAUUGCGAUCUGGUUCGAUAGGAAGGCGCUAACACGUUCACACGAGGGCGUAUCGAUAGUGACACGUUCGAUUACUUUGACCAACCCGUCCACUUGCAUUCUCCAUACUCGGGAACGUCAACUUGGCAGCGGCUUUAUGCAAAUUCGUCGUCCACCAACGAGAACCAUAAAAUGCAAGACCUCAAUAAACACCGGCCUUAACCCGAUCCACUAUAAAACGAACAAUAUAACAUAUGUUUCCUUUUUAGCCUCUCGGAAAUAACCAUUCUCCUAUUGAACGAAGGAAUCUAUCGAUGAGGCAACAAACGAGAGGGAAAUAGACAGAAAGAAACAGGCAGAGAGAAAGAGAGAGAGAGAGAGAGAGAGAGAUGAAGAAGGUCAGUUCUUUCAGUGAACAAGGCAAAAAGUAGUGUUUCUUCCAUUCAUUCGAUAGCUUCAAGACCUUUACGUUUUACAUCCAGACAAGUAUCCAGACACGAACUAAUUAGUUCUUUCUUGCUAAUCGACGAGUUUCUUCUUGAUCGUGCCACCUCGUUAACGCUCGUGCUCGUUGGAUUCGAUCUAACUCGAUCAAACGACGAUGUAUAUGUAAGCUCGUUAUCGAAGGGAUAGUCGAGAUUAAAUUCUUCGAGCAAUCCAUCGACUCAGGGAACUUUUAAUUAUCACCGUUAGGUUGUAUCUUCACAACGAAAGAUAUAUCGUUCAUGUUGAUCGUAUUCCCGAUAGGGAUUUCAAUCAGUAUUCAAUUUGUCUUUCGAUGCUCGAAACAAAGUGUGAUUUCACGUAUAGCAGCUAUAACGACUAGGCGAUCAGUAAUUAGUCACCGACAGGUUACCUUGUCGUUCUGUCGUAGAUCCGUUCUUAACUGAAAGAAAAUUCAUGGUAGGUGCUCGUUACCGUUCGAGAUCUUUCGCGUUUAUUUCUAUUUUGAAAGAAGUCAGAUGAUCAUCCUAUAACUCAUUGCACAGGUGUUGAAUCGAAGAGCAAAUGCGAGCAGCUGCGAUGAUUAUGUACAGCCCGGAGGAUGUUUCGGGUGUAUCGAUAACAAGAAGUUUAAUUUAUACAAGUCCGAUAUUAAUUUUUCAAAUAAAAUUAUGAAAUUGGGAUAAUCGAGUUUCUCGAUUUUUCUCUCUCUCUCUCUCUCUCUCUCUUUCUUGAAAUUGUCAUUAUUAUCGAGGAUAACCAAGGAAUUCGCAACAUUUUUCAUUAACAUUCUUGGAUAUCAUUGGUUCGCCAUUUAUGAAUCACAUAGAAUAUCCAUGGGAGGAAAACUCAUCACGUCAACGAUGUUCUUCUCUCCAAGAAUGUCCAUAUCGCCGAAAUAGCAGUAACCUAACAUAGACGACUCUCCGCGAAAUAUCUAACUGGCAAAUGUUAGUAAACCACGUUCGAGAACAGUCUGGGAUAGGUAAAAAGGUCGUUGAUCCUCUCUUAGACGACGUGACCCUUUACGAGCUUGCCAACAUACGUCGUCCUGCUGACUUAAACUGGAAGUUUCUAUUCGCUUGCUGUAAUCAACAGUGCUCGACGCUGAUGACGAGCUCAGCGAAAAACGAGUGACCGUCAUAAACAA
Long non-coding RNA from Vespa mandarinia (Asian giant hornet), 1837 nucleotides. RefSeq lists it as uncharacterized. NCBI's taxonomy places the organism in Eukaryota, Metazoa, Arthropoda, Insecta, Hymenoptera, Vespidae. The record is from RefSeq and is a predicted model, not a curated record.